Molecule: non-coding RNA, 3855 nt
Organism: Phasianus colchicus (ring-necked pheasant)
Lineage: Eukaryota; Metazoa; Chordata; Aves; Galliformes; Phasianidae
Source: RefSeq, a predicted model, not a curated record
CCGUCCCCGCUGUGCGCCGGCGCCAUGGCGGUGUUCCACGAUGAGGUGGAGAUCGAAGACUUCGAGUACGAUGAGGAGACGGAGACGUACAGCUACCCGUGUCCCUGCGGGGACCGCUUCCUCAUCACGCGGGAGGACCUGGAGAACGGAGAGGACGUGGCCACCUGCCCCAGCUGCUCCCUCAUCCUGCGCGUCAUCUAUGACCAGGUAUUCCUUGGACUGGUGUGAAGAAAAACAGCGGUUCCACUGGUCUUAAAGAACAAUGUGAAGCUUUUAAAGUGACCUGCCAAAGAGAGAAAAGAGGAGACAUGUAUGGUGUAUGAACAAAACAGGGGGCUCUUACCCAGUUUUCAGGUCCUUCCCAGCCACAGCAGCGCACCUUUCUGUUUCGAGGGGCAUUAUCACUUCAGGAAGAAUUUGCAGUAACACGUGGUGGCAGCAGCGAGUAGCAAGCAAGGAAUGAUGAAACAUGCCCAAGCUUCGAACACAACGUGGUAUUGGCAAAUUACUUAAAAUUGUUGAGUUUUAUAUCCAGCUUUGUUCCACCUUCCCACCUGUAUAUUUCUGCAUUCUUGGUGUGCAUAUUUGCAACUCCAGAUAUGACUUAUGCAUUCAUUCUGAGGGCAUUUUAUCCAAUGUGUGUAUCUCAAAACUUCCUACAAAUAGGUCAGAUUACACGUAGAAGCAACACAAUUCUUAGAAAUGUGAGCAUUGUAGCACUUCUCAUCCAUUAGCCAUUUAGUGCAAACUCUCACACUGUAUCUUGUGCCCUUUGACGGUUUAGGAAGGGAAGCUGAAACCUACAGAAAAAUGCAAAAGAAAGGCUCUACCGUGUUAUGCCAUGUUCUUACUCCUCUUCUCCAAAAUGAAGAAUUUCCUUUUGAGCACUCCUCAGGUACUGACAUCUGCUCAUCCCUUUGCUAUGGAGUCAGAGGCAACACCACCUGUGCUUUUCUAAACAAAUUGUUUUUAGGAUUAGGAUAGAGCUGUAUGUAAGAAGCAAUACUAAUGUAGAAAAAAUCAAGCAAAUCGUUAAGUAUGGUUAAUAUUUUCUUUUUUCUGGACCUUGAAAAUGUGAAAAUAUAAUGUGGUGAUGUCAGUAUCUGGAAGCUUUAUUUUGGGAAGUACUUUGUGUUUGGAGCAUCUGAGCAGCCUACUAAUCAAAUAACAUGGCACAUCUCUAGGCUCUGACUCAAGAAAAGACAUAGAAAACAGCAGGACACCUGACAAGAUGAAUACUUUUACCUCAUUUUGACACUUGUAUGAUAUGUAAAGUUGUAAAUAGCAGCAUUUUAGGAACAGCUUCACAAGUAGCUCAGCAGCCUGUGCAAUGGGGCAGAGCAGGUGGUUCAGGGACCACCCCAACUGGAGGUUGCUUUUGCUCUUGAACCAGUGCCCUGUGAAAUAAAGGAAGAAAAUCAGCAUAGAUUCACAGGCAUAGUAAAUAGACUCAAUUCUAUGAUUGAGUCUAUCUAUAGGAAGGCUGACAGCCAUUAACUACAAUGUUAAUUCUAAGCAUCCAUCACAUACCAUGGAAUUAGUGGGUUAGCAAGACUUCUCAUCAAACACAUCUGUCAAGAUGGGAAAACAUGACAAUACAUUAUUGUUUUAUAAACCAAACAAAAGGUUAACACCUGUAUAUUUUUAUUCAUUUUACAAAAAAAUUGUUGAUUGCGAUUGUCAUGGUCAUCAGUUGAAGAAAAAUGCAUUUGCAGCAGUGGUGAUUUCAAAGCUGUUUCCAUCGGCUUCUGAUAUCUGCGAUAUCUGUGAUAAGCGUGCAAGAAGAACUGAGCAAGGGCUGCUGAAGUACUGAAGUCCAGGAACUUCAGUGUACUACUUCUGUGUAAUGAUCCCAUAGGAUUUAGUGUGGAAAAACCUAGUGAAGGAAGAUUUUCCACUCCUCUGCAUGCUAAUGCAAGAAAUAGUAGAUGUGAAGACUGAUCAAGUUAGCAUUGUUGUUUUCUCUUUUCCUUAUUAAUCAUGGGAGAAAACUUUUACUCCUGAUGAAUCCAUGUUCCUUUCUAUGUCUUCUCAUGGCCUAUAUUCAUCACUCACACCACACCCUAAAGGUGUCCUCAGCAAGACUUUAUAGUAGCUAUACUGGUGUUGUUCACAUAAGUUGUUUUGCUAUUCUUGGCCUGUGAUGCACUACAAGGAUGAUUAUAACAUUACCAGGCUGUCAAGACAUUUCUAUUGGGUUGAUGGAUAAAUUCUGAACUCUAAGCAAGCAUGUAUGUAUUCCAGUUACACAAGAAUUCGUAUUGUCCAUUUAGUAUGCAAACCUGAAUCUAAAUGAUGGUAUAAGGUAAAGCAUGGAAGCCACAUGCUACUUUUUGAAAUUUAAGUCCUUAAGCUCCUUGGCCUCCUGACUGAGGUAUUUACUUUGGAGAUAUGCCUGUUGAAAGUAUGCACUGCUUCUAGUCAAAGGGCAUUUAAAGGGGAUAUUUUAAUGUGUGGUCUGUGAAACCUCCACUUUCACCUGGGAUGAGGGGUUGUCCUUGCCACAGGAGUCCCUGUGUGACUGGACACAAGUGAGGAAAAGAGAAGCCCCAUGACUGGUCCUACCUGAGCCCAAAGCAGUGCCUAGCCAAGGAGUCAGCGCCAUACUUCUGACCUUAUUUGUCCCAAAAAGGAAAGGAAGACAAGAUGCUAAAGGUGUGCCUUUAUUCUGUGCAGGGGCAUCUCUAACUUUUGCUGGCACAGUGUGUUUCCCAGUGCCAUACGCUGGCUAAAACAGCCAAAAUCUAACACACAUCAAUUGCCUCAUGCUCAGUAUGGAGCACUGCCUUGCAAGGCAGGAAGGCGCCAUAGACAAGGCAGUCACAGACACUGCCUGCAUUAGCCUUGCAUCUUCUGGAGAUGGAGAUGCUUCUCAAAAUGGGAAAGAGAAUAUAGCAAAAAAUUCCCAGAGCUGCUUUGGAUACUUGUUGCUUUCAGUAGCAUACUUAGGUUGUGUGAACAUUUGGCUUCACUUCCACCACACGCUAAGUUUCAGAACAGCCUCUAUCUAGUCAUGUGCUACACAAAUUUAGUUGCUGACUGUGAUGUUACUUUUACAGCACUGUUAGAAGAUGGCUGAAAAUGCAGUCCCACUGCAGUUUCAUUAGCAUAAUUGGCAUCCGCACUUGUAUGGAUUCAGCAUUACUGAAACUGUUUCAAAGGGACUGAUUAUGUGCUGCAUCCCUUGGAGCAGUAUUUCAGGCUGAGGUCCCCUGGGAUGUGGCAGACAUGAAAAGAAGCCCUAAAUUUUAUAGUGCUGUGUUAGUAUUUCUACAAGAGAAGUGUAGUAGAUAAAAUAAGGUUAUCAUGCAUAGGCAAUUACCAGCUUAAUGGGUUUACACUGUUCUUCUAGGUUUAUCCUGAUCAGUUCUCUAUUAUAGCUUCCCUUGAUCAUCUAAUAAGUUUGUUCUUUCCACAGAAACACAUAUUCAGAGUUUUCUGUCACUUGCAACCAAAAUAGAGUCAUUUACUAUAUGAUCUUGGAAAUAAGGUGUAAUAGCACUGUACUAGCUGCUGCUUGGGUCUGUUAGCAGCAGCCUUCUUUUGGACAUUUGUUUUCCCUUAGGAAGCAAAUGCCCAAAUGCAGCUGAAUAGCCGACAAGAAAACCAGAAAGCUGGAUACAAAGUCACCUGCCUUAGUGUCUCCAUGUCUCAGAUACUAGUUCAGCCAAGUGGUUCCUGACAAUGACAACAGAUUGUGAAAGCCCCAUCUUUGUACCUGGACAUCACUGAAGUUUCAAGGAUGUCCCACAGUGUCUCCCUCCUUCUCCAGCCAGUCUUUGUACUGCAAUAUAAACUUCUCAGGACUCCAGCCUUUUCCUUUUUUCUGCUCCUCUCCCUUUUCCUUUACCCUUU